UACGAAGGGGGCUAGCGUUGCUCGGAAUGACUGGGCGUAAAGGGCGCGUAGGCGGAUGGCACAGUCAGAUGUGAAAUUCCCGGGCUUAACCUGGGGGCUGCAUUUGAUACGUGUUGUCUUGAGUUCGGAAGAGGGUCGUGGAAUUCCCAGUGUAGAGGUGGAAAUUCGUAGAUAUUGGGAAGAACACCGGUGGCGAAGGCGGCGACCUGGUCCGACACUGACGCUGAGGCGCGAAAGCGUGGGGAGCAAACAGGAUUGAGAAACCCCAGU
This 270-nucleotide ribosomal RNA is filed under the name uncultured bacterium. Its description in RNAcentral is "partial 16S ribosomal RNA". It matches the Rfam family "Bacterial small subunit ribosomal RNA", at positions 524 to 791 of the family's 1533-position model. The record is from RNAcentral.